This 498-nucleotide ribosomal RNA is filed under the name uncultured bacterium. RNAcentral describes it as "partial 16S ribosomal RNA". It matches the Rfam family "Bacterial small subunit ribosomal RNA", at positions 28 to 507 of the family's 1533-position model. The record is from RNAcentral.
GAUGAACGCUGGCGGCGUGCCUAAUACAUGCAAGUCGAGCGAACAGACGAGGAGCUUGCUCCUCUGACGUUAGCGGCGGACGGGUGAGUAACACGUGGAUAACCUACCUAUAAGACUGGGAUAACUUCGGGAAACCGGAGCUAAUACCGGAUAAUAUAUUUGAACCGCAUGGUUCAAUAGUGAAAGACGGUUUUGCUGUCACUUAUAGAUGGAUCCGCGCCGCAUUAGCUAGUUGGUAAGGUAACGGCUUACCAAGGCGACGAUGCGUAGCCGACCUGAGAGGGUGAUCGGCCACACUGGAACUGAGACACGGUCCAGACUCCUACGGGAGGCAGCAGUAGGGAAUCUUCCGCAAUGGGCGAAAGCCUGACGGAGCAACGCCGCGUGAGUGAUGAAGGUCUUCGGAUCGUAAAACUCUGUUAUUAGGGAAGAACAAAUGUGUAAGUAACUAUGCACGUCUUGACGGUACCUAAUCAGAAAGCCACGGCUAACUACGUG